This 253-nucleotide ribosomal RNA is filed under the name uncultured bacterium. RNAcentral describes it as "partial 16S ribosomal RNA". It matches the Rfam family "Bacterial small subunit ribosomal RNA", at positions 524 to 776 of the family's 1533-position model. The record is from RNAcentral.
UACAGGGGGGGCAAGCGGUGUUCGGAAUUACUGGGCGUAAAGGGCUCGUAGGCGGCCAACUAAGUCAGACGUGAAAUCCCUCGGCUUAACCGGGGAACUGCGUCUGAUACUGGAUGGCUUGAAUCCGGGAGAGGGAUGCGGAAUUCCAGGUGUAGCGGUGAAAUGCGCAGAUAUCAGGAGGAACACCGGUGGCGAAGGCGGGUCUCUGGGCCGUAACUGACGCUGAGGAGCGAAAGCGUGGGGAGCAAACAGG